UUCUUUUCAAGGUUCUUUUAGGGUGGUCUUAGGGUUCCUUGCCAGGUUCUUUCAGGGUUCUCUUAGGGCUCUUUGCAGGAUUCUUCCAGCGGUUCUUUUAUGGUUUCUUAGGGUUCUUUGGGAGAUUCUGUAGGAGGUUCUUUAGGAGAUUCUCUUAGAGUUCUUUGCAGGGUUCUUCCAGAGGUUUUUUUAUGGUUUCUUAGGGUUCUUUGGGAGGUUCUUUUCGGGGUUCUUUGGGAGGUUCUUUAGGAGGUUCUUUUAGGGUUCUCUUAGGGUUCUUUGCAGGGUUCUUCCAGAGGUUUUUUUA
This is a long non-coding RNA of Corapipo altera (White-ruffed manakin), 307 nucleotides long. RefSeq lists it as uncharacterized. The record is from RefSeq and is a predicted model, not a curated record. The transcript has 3 exons. NCBI's taxonomy places the organism in Eukaryota, Metazoa, Chordata, Aves, Passeriformes, Pipridae.